AGGUGAAGCCACACCAUUUUCACUAACCAAACAAUACAUUUAUUUUACUGGUAAAAACAGGAACGAUUCCCUCAGGUUGAUGCAGUCUACAGCAGAACAGAUUCUUGUGUCAGUUUAAAGCUGAAGUUUAAAGGCUCUUGUGUUAGUGUUAAUGCAUCGUUCCUCGUCUACACUGUGACACACAGCACUGCAGGAGCCGUCAACAAAGCUGUCAAUCAAGGAGCAGCAGGAUAGCUGAAGGCAACAGUGAACAUACUGUUAAGUACACAGCCAGAGAGAAAGAGAGAUGAGCCAAGCGGAGAGAAGCCGCGCUGAGUGCCAGCUUCACGCAGCUUCAAAAGAAAAAUGAGCAGUUGAAAGAAGUUGCUCUAAACUGUGUGGGGCUUCUUGGAUUUUUCUGCUUCUUCCGUUCCUGAUGCCGCUCCAGGGGGGAACCUAAGAUGCGAGGCAGCUGCCUGACUAAGCGAUGAGGCCAAGAGGAGGAAGAGGAGGAUGGAAUUACCCCCACAGCCUUUUUCUCCAGAGGACUUUCCACCCAACAAGUUAAGUUACAUUUGGUAGAGGUUGGCAAUUUGAUACAUAUCUGCAAGGUGGUAGCUGUUCGGUGUGAACAAUUGAACGGAAUGUUGUAUCCGUUUUCUUUUUCCCUUUUUCCCUCAGCAGAAUGACUAAAACCUGUGUUGCCACAGUGACCUAGCAUCUGCAGGCUGUUCAUGUUUUUGGGGGCUGAUUUAUAUAUCUGAGCUGGCAUCAACGCUUUGUUUCGUCUCUUCCUGACCAACACUAGGGUUCCCAUAUUGCCAAAUAAUACAAAAGACAAAAGAAACUGAGGAAACAUGUGUAACCCUUCUGUUCCGAGCAGCAGAAUCCAACAUGAACGAAAGAAUCUGAACGCAGUUAAGAAGAACUGUGGUGUGCUACAGUUGUCCACAGCCAGAAUAGGAACAUCAACAAUGUACUAUACUCAUUUCCAGAUCACACAGCCUCUUCCAUCCAGCCUCUGUUACAACUGUUAGUGCACUUAGAACCACGUUUCCUGUAAGUAUUAUAGCCUCUAAAGGUGCUGACAGAACAGCCAAACUGGUUUUAUACCACACAUUAUCUUUAAGAAGGAGGGAAAAUGUGUGGUUUAAAUGGCUGUUUACAAUGUGUGUGUUUGUGCGUCAGAGAAGGACGCUGGAUGUUGGAAGGAUGACUUUAAAAUAUAUAUUUUUUCAAAUGCAGUCAGUGUUUCUUGGCCUUGAAUUCAUAGGCUCCUGUUUUCUUUUCUUGUAAACAUAAUUUUGUCCUCUAACAGAAGAUGUAUAGACAGUAGCCGGUCUGCACAGACCCUAUAGACUCACAGAAGGGAGGGAGGACAGUGUUGCUGGGUCACUGGCCUUCAGUGGGAUUGGGUUGCAACCUGGAUCCCAGAGGAGGGAGAGGAAGCCCGGGGAGGGGGCAGAGAGCACGCUGUGUGGCCAAACAACUAACUGAUAGCUCAGGGGGAAAUGUCCAGCAUCCUCAGCAGCACAUGGCUCACUAGUGGAGGACCCGUCACACCCACAUUUACAGCAGAUGGCUACUACAGGGGGUUUGUGCACAUAGAUUUUCGUGUGUGUGUGUGUGUUUUCAUACCUGUAGGACUGAGCU
Long non-coding RNA from Labrus bergylta (ballan wrasse), 1632 nucleotides. RefSeq lists it as uncharacterized. The record is from RefSeq and is a predicted model, not a curated record. NCBI's taxonomy places the organism in Eukaryota, Metazoa, Chordata, Actinopteri, Labriformes, Labridae.